GACGAACGCUGGCGGCGUGCUUAACACAUGCAAGUCGAACGAAGAGCGAUGGAAGCUUGCUUCUAUCAAUCUUAGUGGCGAACGGGUGAGUAACGCGUAAUCAACCUGCCCUUCAGAGGGGGACAACAGUUGGAAACGACUGCUAAUACCGCAUACGAUCUAAUCUCGGCAUCGAGGAUAGAUGAAAGGUGGCCUCUACAUGUAAGCUAUCACUGAAGGAGGGGAUUGCGUCUGAUUAGCUAGUUGGAGGGGUAACGGCCCACCAAGGCGAUGAUCAGUAGCCGGUCUGAGAGGAUGAACGGCCACAUUGGGACUGAGACACGGCCCAGACUCCUACGGGAGGCAGCAGUGGGGAAUCUUCCGCAAUGGACGAAAGUCUGACGGAGCAACGCCGCGUGAGUGAUGACGGCCUUCGGGUUGUAAAGCUCUGUUAAUCGGGACGAAAGGCCUUCUUGCGAAUAGUGAGAAGGAUUGACGGUACCGGAAUAGAAAGCCAUGGCUAACUACGUG
Molecule: ribosomal RNA, 510 nt
Filed under: uncultured bacterium
Lineage: Bacteria
Description: partial 16S ribosomal RNA
Rfam family: Bacterial small subunit ribosomal RNA
Source: RNAcentral